Long non-coding RNA from Mauremys reevesii (Reeves's turtle), 882 nucleotides. RefSeq lists it as uncharacterized. NCBI's taxonomy places the organism in Eukaryota, Metazoa, Chordata, Testudines, Geoemydidae. The transcript is spliced from 4 exons. The record is from RefSeq and is a predicted model, not a curated record.
CUAGGCGGCACCUGGAGGAGGAGCCAGGGAGCCAUGAGGACUAAUUGAAAGCUGAAGCUCACCUGAGCAGAACAGCCAGGGCUUGUAUAAAGUCAGACAGCUGGAGGCCGAAUGGGGCUACAGGGAGGAGGUUUGCAGUCAUUCCCCCUGAGACUAGGGAGAGAAGGGAGCUAGGCUUGUAGGGAAGGACGUGCCUGGAGGAGGGUGGAGAAAGAGGUGGAUAGAGGCAGCAUAGGAAGCAGUCCAGGGAAACCGCAGCAAGGUGUGGGACUGCACAGACCUUAGCGGCUGGGUGUAGGGUCCCCAGGCUGGAACCCAGAGAAGAGGGCGGGCCUGGGUUCCCCUACCAGCCAGGGGGGAAGUGGCACCAUUGAGGCAGUGAACUGGAAGGCUGCCUGGGACAGAGAGACAUUGGCCUGCACCCGCAGAAAGGGAGAACCAAGCCACCAAGAGGGAGCAGUCGAGUCCUGAGAGAGAGUCGGAGUGAGCAUCUGCAGGAAGAGGCAUCAGAUGGGCAGAGCUAAUCCUCCUCUAUGACCACAAGGAGGUGCUGCGGUGAGAGGCUGCUCUGUAGCAGAGAUGCCCCGAUUUCCAUCCAUGGAGGAAUGUGACACGUGAGCCCUGGCUAAAUCCCAGCCCCUCAUUUCCCAUUGUCGAGAGUGCUUCUAGUGACUCAGCUUAUUACUGCCCCUUGCCUUCCAAGCCUGGAUUCUCCUUCCAAAGAAGUGGAGCAAGGGAAUCAUGUGAAUUGCCCUGUCAGCACUGAGAACAUAAGAUUCUGACCUCAGGCUGGGAAUGAGCAAGAGGAGCAGAUGGAACUCUUGAGCGGCAAGGUCCCAUUUAUCAUGCAGUUAUCUUCAGGAGGAAGGGGAGGACAGAAAG